This 178-nucleotide non-coding RNA is filed under the name chicken gut metagenome. Its description in RNAcentral is "6S / SsrS RNA". It matches the Rfam family "6S / SsrS RNA". From Rfam's summary of the family: E. coli 6S RNA was the first non coding RNA to be sequenced, but its function was unknown until recently. It consists of 184 nucleotides that fold into an extended hairpin structure with a large single-stranded internal bulge. The 6S RNA specifically associates with RNA polymerase holoenzyme containing the sigma70 specificity factor. The record is from RNAcentral.
ACCCUGCGGUGUGCGUAAUAUAGCCAUUUAUUUUACCAACACAUUUUUAAAGGGAUUCUUGCUCUCUGUGUGGAUUGCAGGCCUCCCUAAAUGGAAGAGGAAGCGCGAAGCACAGAGGCGGUUGCCCACCUGCUUAGGCAGGUAAUAUAAAGGCGUCACUUACGGCUCGGCGGGGCAU